This 2079-nucleotide ribosomal RNA is filed under the name Salmonella enterica subsp. enterica serovar Mississippi. RNAcentral's name for it is "partial 23S ribosomal RNA". It matches the Rfam family "Bacterial large subunit ribosomal RNA", at positions 1 to 2102 of the family's 2925-position model. Lineage: Bacteria; Pseudomonadati; Pseudomonadota; Gammaproteobacteria; Enterobacterales; Enterobacteriaceae. The record is from RNAcentral.
GUUAAGCGACUAAGCGUACACGGUGGAUGCCCUGGCAGUCAGAGGCGAUGAAGGGCGUGCUAAUCUGCGAUAAGCGCCGGUAAGGUGAUAUGAACCGUUAUAACCGGCGAUACCCGAAUGGGGAAACCCAGUGUGAUUCGUCACACUAUCAUUAACUGAAUCCAUAGGUUAAUGAGGCGAACCGGGGGAACUGAAACAUCUAAGUACCCCGAGGAAAAGAAAUCAACCGAGAUUCCCCCAGUAGCGGCGAGCGAACGGGGAGGAGCCCAGAGCCUGAAUCAGCAUGUGUGUUAGUGGAAGCGUCUGGAAAGGCGCGCGAUACAGGGUGACAGCCCCGUACACAAAAGCGCAUGUGCUGUGAGCUCGAUGAGUAGGGCGGGACACGUGGUAUCCUGUCUGAAUAUGGGGGGACCAUCCUCCAAGGCUAAAUACUCCUGACUGACCGAUAGUGAACCAGUACCGUGAGGGAAAGGCGAAAAGAACCCCGGCGAGGGGAGUGAAAAAGAACCUGAAACCGUGUACGUACAAGCAGUGGGAGCACAGGUUUACCUGUGUGACUGCGUACCUUUUGUAUAAUGGGUCAGCGACUUAUAUUCUGUAGCAAGGUUAACCGUAUAGGGGAGCCGCAGGGAAACCGAGUCUUAAUUGGGCGUUAAGUUGCAGGGUAUAGACCCGAAACCCGGUGAUCUAGCCAUGGGCAGGUUGAAGGUUGGGUAACACUAACUGGAGGACCGAACCGACUAAUGUUGAAAAAUUAGCGGAUGACCUGUGGCUGGGGGUGAAAGGCCAAUCAAACCGGGAGAUAGCUGGUUCUCCCCGAAAGCUAUUUAGGUAGCGCCUCGUGAAUUCAUCUCCGGGGGUAGAGCACUGUUUCGGCUAGGGGGCCAUCCCGGCUUACCAACCCGAUGCAAACUGCGAAUACCGGAGAAUGUUAUCACGGGAGACACACGGCGGGUGCUAACGUCCGUCGUGAAGAGGGAAACAACCCAGACCGCCAGCUAAGGUCCCAAAGUCAUGGUUAAGUGGGAAACGAUGUGGGAAGGCCCAGACAGCCAGGAUGUUGGCUUAGAAGCAGCCAUCAUUUAAAGAAAGCGUAAUAGCUCACUGGUCGAGUCGGCCUGCGCGGAAGAUGUAACGGGGCUAAACCAUGCACCGAAGCUGCGGCAGCGACGCUUAUGCGUUGCUGGGUAGGGGAGCGUUCUGUAAGCCUGCGAAGGUGGCCUGUGAGGGUUGCUGGAGGUAUCAGAAGUGCGAAUGCUGACAUAAGUAACGAUAAAGCGGGUGAAAAGCCCGCUCGCCGGAAGACCAAGGGUUCCUGUCCAACGUUAAUCGGGGCAGGGUGAGUCGACCCCUAAGGCGAGGCCGAAAGGCGUAGUCGAUGGGAAACGGGUUAAUAUUCCCGUACUUGGUGUUACUGCGAAGGGGGGACGGAGAAGGCUAUGUUGGCCGGGCGACGGUUGUCCCGGUUUAAGCGUGUAGGUGUGUGUUCCAGGUAAAUCCGGUUCACUUUAACACUGAGGCGUGACGACGAGGCACUACGGUGCUGAAGCAACAAAUGCCCUGCUUCCAGGAAAAGCCUCUAAGCAUCAGGUAACAUCAAAUCGUACCCCAAACCGACACAGGUGGUCAGGUAGAGAAUACCAAGGCGCUUGAGAGAACUCGGGUGAAGGAACUAGGCAAAAUGGUGCCGUAACUUCGGGAGAAGGCACGCUGACACGUAGGUGAAGUGAUUUACUCAUGGAGCUGAAGUCAGUCGAAGAUACCAGCUGGCUGCAACUGUUUAUUAAAAACACAGCACUGUGCAAACACGAAAGUGGACGUAUACGGUGUGACGCCUGCCCGGUGCCGGAAGGUUAAUUGAUGGGGUCAGCGCAAGCGAAGCUCCUGAUCGAAGCCCCGGUAAACGGCGGCCGUAACUAUAACGGUCCUAAGGUAGCGAAAUUCCUUGUCGGGUAAGUUCCGACCUGCACGAAUGGCGUAAUGAUGGCCAGGCUGUCUCCACCCGAGACUCAGUGAAAUUGAACUCGCUGUGAAGAUGCAGUGUACCCGCGGCAAGACGGAAAGACCCCGUGAACCUUU